UGGACAGAUUAUUAUAUUCGACUGUAUUCACGGCGUGAAACAUGGGAUUACACUGUUUUUAAAACGGAAAGUGAAUCAAUUAACAUAAUAGACUCCU
This 97-nucleotide microRNA precursor is filed under the name Nicotiana sylvestris (wood tobacco). Its description in RNAcentral is "MIR6152 microRNA precursor family". It matches the Rfam family "MIR6152 microRNA precursor family". The record is from Rfam by way of RNAcentral. Lineage: Eukaryota; Viridiplantae; Streptophyta; Magnoliopsida; Solanales; Solanaceae.